RNAcentral lists this ribosomal RNA (425 nucleotides) under uncultured bacterium. Its description in RNAcentral is "bacterial SSU rRNA". It matches the Rfam family "Bacterial small subunit ribosomal RNA", at positions 355 to 772 of the family's 1533-position model. The record is from RNAcentral.
UGGGGAAUUUUGGACAAUGGGGGCAACCCUGAUCCAGCCAUGCCGCGUGUGUGAAGAAGGCCUUCGGGUUGUAAACCGCUUUUAGUCGGGAAGAAAAGGCACGGGUGAAUACCCCGUGUUCUUGACGGUACCGGCGGAAUAAGCACCGGCUAACUACGUGCCAGCAGCCGCGGUAAUACGUAGGGUGCGAGCGUUAAUCGGAAUUACUGGGCGUAAAGCGUGCGCAGGCGGUUCGCUGUGUCCGAUGUGAAAGCCCCGGGCUCAACCUGGGAAUGGCAUGGGAAACUGGCGGGCUGGAGUGUGGCAGAGGGGGGUGGAAUUCCGCGUGUAGCAGUGAAAUGCGUAGAGAUGCGGAGGAACACCGAUGGCGAAGGCAGCCCCCUGGGCCAACACUGACGCUCAGGCACGAAAACGUGGGGAGCAAA